AGAAGAUGUGGGUUAGUCCCUCACCCCUCUUA
RNAcentral lists this transfer RNA (32 nucleotides) under Anolis distichus favillarum. RNAcentral describes it as "partial tRNA-Ala". The record is from RNAcentral. Lineage: Eukaryota; Metazoa; Chordata; Lepidosauria; Squamata; Anolidae.